RNAcentral lists this ribosomal RNA (155 nucleotides) under Sunxiuqinia elliptica. The record is from RNAcentral. Lineage: Bacteria; Pseudomonadati; Bacteroidota; Bacteroidia; Marinilabiliales; Prolixibacteraceae.
UACGGUGAUUAUAGCGGCGGGGUUCCACCUCUUCCCAUUCCGAACAGAGAAGUUAAGCCCGCCAGCGCCGAUGGUACUGCAGAAAUGUGGGAGAGUAGGUCGUCGCCCUUCUUUUUAAACCCUGUGUUCUUAGUUGAGCGCAGGGUUUUUUUAUG